GGGAGUGUUGCCUAGUGGAAAGAGCACUGAACUGGGACUUGGGAGAGCUGGGUUCAAUUCCUGGCUCUGCCA
Non-coding RNA from Chelonia mydas (Green sea turtle), 72 nucleotides. The record is from Rfam. NCBI's taxonomy places the organism in Eukaryota, Metazoa, Chordata, Testudines, Cheloniidae.